Molecule: unclassified non-coding RNA, 309 nt
Filed under: plant metagenome
Description: partial contains 5.8S ribosomal RNA, internal transcribed spacer 2, and large subunit ribosomal RNA
Rfam family: 5.8S ribosomal RNA (bases 1-104)
Source: RNAcentral
AAAUGCGAUAAGUAGUGUGAAUUGCAGAAUUCAGUGAAUCAUCGAAUCUUUGAACGCACAUUGCGCCCCUCGGUAUUCCGUGGGGCAUGCCUGUUCGAGCGUCAUCUACACCCUCAAGCUCUGCUUGGUGUUGGGCGUCUGUCCCGCCUCCUUCGCGCGCGGACUCGCCCCAAAUCCAUUGGCGGCGGCCCUUGCCUCCCUCUCGCGCAGCACAUUGCGCUUCUCGAGGCGCGGCGGACCGCGUCCCGCAAGCAACCGUCACACCGUCUUUGACCUCGGAUCAGGUAGGGAUACCCGCUGAACUUAAGC